This 406-nucleotide ribosomal RNA is filed under the name uncultured bacterium. Its description in RNAcentral is "partial 16S ribosomal RNA". It matches the Rfam family "Bacterial small subunit ribosomal RNA", at positions 28 to 526 of the family's 1533-position model. The record is from RNAcentral.
GUUGAACGCUAGCUACAGGCUUAACACAUGCAAGUCGAGGGACCGGCGCAUGGGUGAGUAACAUGUAUCAAACAUGCCCUUUACUCGGGGUUAGACUUUCGAAAGAAAGGUUAAUACCCGAUAUAAAGGAUGGGGUUGCGUUCCAUUAGGUGUGUGGUGAGGUAACGGCCCGGCAAGCCUUCGAUGGAUAGGGGUUCUGAGAGGAAGGUCCCCCACAUUGGAACUGAGACACCGUCCAAACUCGUACGGAGCGCAGCAGUGUGGAAUAUUGGUGGAUGGGGAUUGGCCUGAACCAGCCGAGUGGCGUGAAGGAUGAAGGCUUAUGGGUCGUAAUCUUCUUUUAUAUAAGAAUAUGUAUUAUAAGAAUAAGGAUCGGCUAACUCCGUGCCAGCAGCCGCGGUAAUUC